RNAcentral lists this ribosomal RNA (839 nucleotides) under Lacticaseibacillus sp. Its description in RNAcentral is "bacterial SSU rRNA". It matches the Rfam family "Bacterial small subunit ribosomal RNA", at positions 87 to 909 of the family's 1533-position model. The record is from RNAcentral. Lineage: Bacteria; Bacillati; Bacillota; Bacilli; Lactobacillales; Lactobacillaceae.
UGGAACGAGUGGCGGACGGGUGAGUAACACGUGGGUAACCUGCCCUUAAGUGGGGGAUAACAUUUGGAAACAGAUGCUAAUACCGCAUAGAUCCAAGAACCGCAUGGUUCUUGGCUGAAAGAUGGCGUAAGCUAUCGCUUUUGGAUGGACCCGCGGCGUAUUAGCUAGUUGGUGAGGUAAUGGCUCACCAAGGCGAUGAUACGUAGCCGAACUGAGAGGUUGAUCGGCCACAUUGGGACUGAGACACGGCCCAAACUCCUACGGGAGGCAGCAGUAGGGAAUCUUCCACAAUGGACGCAAGUCUGAUGGAGCAACGCCGCGUGAGUGAAGAAGGCUUUCGGGUCGUAAAACUCUGUUGUUGGAGAAGAAUGGUCGGCAGAGUAACUGUUGUCGGCGUGACGGUAUCCAACCAGAAAGCCACGGCUAACUACGUGCCAGCAGCCGCGGUAAUACGUAGGUGGCAAGCGUUAUCCGGAUUUAUUGGGCGUAAAGCGAGCGCAGGCGGUUUUUUAAGUCUGAUGUGAAAGCCCUCGGCUUAACCGAGGAAGCGCAUCGGAAACUGGGAAACUUGAGUGCAGAAGAGGACAGUGGAACUCCAUGUGUAGCGGUGAAAUGCGUAGAUUUAUGGAAGAACACCAGUGGCGAAAGCGGCUGUCUGGUCUGUAACUGACGCUGAGGCUCGAAAGCAUGGGUAGCGAACAGGAUUAGAUACCCUGGUAGUCCAUGCCGUAAACGAUGAAUGCUAGGUGUUUGGAAGGGUUUCCGCCCUUCAGUGCCGCAGCUAACGCAUUAAGCAUUCCGCCCGGGGAGUACGACCGCAAGGUUGAAACUCAAAGGAA